GCAGGGCCCGGCAGUGCUCUGAGCAGGGGAGCAGCGGGAGCGCGGGCCUGACGUCGGGCGGCGAGCAUUUACCCACCCGGAGGGGCGGCCGCGCCUGGGCCGUGCCCGCCGGGAGAGCAGUGCCAGGCGGCCACGGAGGAGCCGCUGUCUGGCUGCGUGGGGGCCGGGCAGCUCGGGCAGUCCGGAGCCCGCCCCAGCGCAGGUUCUCUGCGACCAGGAGCAGGCGAGAGGGCCCUGCCGGUCCCCGCUGAUUCCCCGGGGCUGCUCCUCCCCGUCUCUUCCCAGGACGGGCGGUCCUCGCCUCUGGGGAUGCCCAUGCCUGAGGUCAGCUCAGGCCGCAGUCGGCCGGGUGCGAGGCAGCCCUGGCCCGCUCCUUCCGCCCGGCCAGCGGACCGGUCCUCAGGGCUGUGGAGCACGGAGCGCGCUUGGUAAGAAAAUUAACACCAAGCACUGGGAUGGGCCACGAGCUUCGGGAACUGAACCCGCGGCCUCCUUAGCGCGGCCACGAAUUUCCCUGCUCGGCCUCAACCGCGCCCAGCUCAGCCGCGCAGCCGCUGCUUCUCUCAGAUCAGGGAAAUCACCUGGACAGUCUGCACCGAGCACCGGAGCGCGCAGCGUCCGGGAAAGCCGCAGUUUAACCUUCGCGUCUUCGUUGUCUGGGGGCGCAGAGGCCCAAGGCCUCCUGCCUCCCGCAGGGCCACACACAGCACCCCGUUUCCAGCACAUGCGCCAGACUCCGAGAGGACGCCUGUCCCCGUGGACGCUGCCUCUUCUUGUUCUCUGAGGCCUGAAAAAAUGGGGUGAAAAUGGAGCUUUUCCAGAAUGUCCUGUCUUCCAGUAGACGCAGAAUUCAGAAACUGGAUGCAGAUGUUCAUCUUGAGGCUUUUUCUUUACGUCUUCUUGUGCUGGGAGCGCUGCACUUGUGGGCUGUCUGUGCGGACACAUGUCAAUGCCACAAGGCGAAUGCAGCCCGUUGAACUGGGAUUCAAGCGUGAUGCGAAAAAUAGCUGCAGUUUUGACUUUUAAGGAACUCUUUAUUUCCUUUCUCCACCGACAACGUCCAGUUGUAAUUCUGAAAUUGCACAAGCACAGCACAGUGAACUCGCAGAAUGAGCUUAAUGUCCCGGAGCGGUCCAAGCCGAACACCACAUCACUCUGCGCAGUUUGGCGGGCGGGAGCG
RNAcentral lists this long non-coding RNA (1180 nucleotides) under Heterocephalus glaber (naked mole-rat). RNAcentral's name for it is "lncRNA (ENSHGLG00100042078.1)". Lineage: Eukaryota; Metazoa; Chordata; Mammalia; Rodentia; Bathyergidae. The record is from RNAcentral.